This 359-nucleotide ribosomal RNA is filed under the name uncultured Anoxybacillus sp. Its description in RNAcentral is "bacterial SSU rRNA". It matches the Rfam family "Bacterial small subunit ribosomal RNA", at positions 1020 to 1382 of the family's 1533-position model. The record is from RNAcentral. Lineage: Bacteria; Bacillati; Bacillota; Bacilli; Caryophanales; Anoxybacillaceae.
CGGGGGACAGGGUGACAGGUGGUGCAUGGUUGUCGUCAGCUCGUGUCGUGAGAUGUUGGGUUAAGUCCCGCAACGAGCGCAACCCUCGACCUUAGUUGCCAGCAUUCAGUUGGGCACUCUAAGAUGACUGCCGGCUAAAAGUCGGAGGAAGUGGGGAUGACGUCAAAUCAUCAUGCCCCUUAUGACCUGGGCUACACACGUGCUACAAUGGGCGGUACAAAGGGUCGCGAACCCGCAGGGGGAGCCAAUCCCAAAAAGCCGCUCUCAGUUCGGAUUGCAGGCUGCAACUCGCCUGCAUGAAGCCGGAAUCGCUAGUAAUCGCGGAUCAGCAUGCCGCGGUGAAUACGUUCCCGGGCCUU